RNAcentral lists this microRNA (22 nucleotides) under Oryza sativa (Asian cultivated rice). RNAcentral's name for it is "osa-miR2118i". Lineage: Eukaryota; Viridiplantae; Streptophyta; Magnoliopsida; Poales; Poaceae. The record is from miRBase by way of RNAcentral.
UUCCUAGUGCCUCCCAUUCCUA